This 253-nucleotide ribosomal RNA is filed under the name uncultured bacterium. Its description in RNAcentral is "partial 16S ribosomal RNA". It matches the Rfam family "Bacterial small subunit ribosomal RNA", at positions 524 to 776 of the family's 1533-position model. The record is from RNAcentral.
UACAGAGGGGGCAAGCGUUAUUCGGAAUUAUUGGGCGUAAAGGGCGCGUAGGCGGCUUGGCAAGUGGAAGGUGAAAUCCCUCGGCUCAACUGAGGAACUGCCUUCCAGACUGCUUUGCUUGAGUCCGGGAGAGGUGAGUGGAAUUCCCAGUGUAGCGGUGAAAUGCGUAGAUAUUGGGAGGAACACCAGUGGCGAAGGCGGCUCACUGGACCGGAACUGACGCUGAGGCGCGAAAGCGUGGGGAGCGAACAGG